Molecule: ribosomal RNA, 433 nt
Filed under: uncultured bacterium
Lineage: Bacteria
Description: partial 16S ribosomal RNA
Rfam family: Bacterial small subunit ribosomal RNA
Source: RNAcentral
AACGAACGCUGGCGGCAUGCCUAACACAUGCAAGUCGAACGAGACCUUCGGGUCUAGUGGCGCACGGGUGCGUAACGCGUGGGAACCUGCCCUUAGGUUCGGAAUAACUCCCCGAAAGGGGUGCUAAUACCGGAUAAUGUCUUCGGACCAAAGAUUUAUCGCCUUUGGAUGGGCCCGCGUUGGAUUAGCUAGUUGGUAGGGUAAAAGCCUACCAAGGCGACGAUCCAUAGCUGGUCUGAGAGGAUGAUCAGCCACACUGGGACUGAGACACGGCCCAGACUCCUACGGGAGACAGCAGUGGGGAAUAUUGGACAAUGGGCGAAAGCCUGAUCCAGCAAUGCCGCGUGAGUGAUGAAGGCCUUAGGGUUGUAAAGCUCUUUUACCCGGGAUGAUAAUGACAGUACCGGGAGAAUAAGCGCCGGCUAACUCCGUG